Molecule: ribosomal RNA, 253 nt
Filed under: uncultured bacterium
Lineage: Bacteria
Description: partial 16S ribosomal RNA
Rfam family: Bacterial small subunit ribosomal RNA
Source: RNAcentral
UACGGAGGGGGCUAGCGUUGUUCGGAAUUACUGGGCGUAAAGGGCGCGUAGGCGGCCUGUUAAGUCGAACGUGAAAUCCCCGGGCUCAACCCGGGAACUGCGUCCGAUACUGGCAGGCUUGAAUUCGGGAGAGGGAUGCGGAAUUCCAGGUGUAGCGGUGAAAUGCGUAGAUAUCUGGAGGAACACCGGUGGCGAAGGCGGCAUCCUGGACCGAGAUUGACGCUGAGGCGCGAAAGCCAGGGGAGCAAACGGG